Molecule: long non-coding RNA, 356 nt
Filed under: Salmo salar (Atlantic salmon)
Lineage: Eukaryota; Metazoa; Chordata; Actinopteri; Salmoniformes; Salmonidae
Description: lncRNA (ENSSSAG00000106826.1)
Source: RNAcentral
GCCCACUACGAGUAAUAGGGUUCAGGUGGGGCUAGUCUCCCAGGUAGUGGAGGAGAUGCCCACUACGAGUAAUAGGGUUCAGGUGGGGCUAGUCUCCCAGGUAGUGGAGGAGAGGCCCACUAUGAGUAAUAGGGUUCAGGUGGGGCUAGUCUCCCAGGUAGUGGAGGAGAUGCCUGGUACGAGUGAUGGGCAGCAAGUGGGGAGUGAUGAAAAGGAUGUGUUAGAAGCAAGUCAGGGUUCUGUGGCCUCAGUUGAGGAGGAGCAGGAUAUGGAUAUUCCUUUUGAUAUGAUAGCAGCUGGUGACGACUCAAUUUAUAAUCUAGAGGAGGUAAAUAGGUUUCUGGAUCAGACUUUAG